Molecule: ribosomal RNA, 468 nt
Filed under: uncultured bacterium
Lineage: Bacteria
Description: partial 16S ribosomal RNA
Rfam family: Bacterial small subunit ribosomal RNA
Source: RNAcentral
GACGAACGCUGGCGGCGUGCUUAACACAUGCAAGUCGAACGGAAAGGCCCUGCUUUUGUGGGGUGCUCGAGUGGCGAACGGGUGAGUAACACGUGAGUAACCUGCCCUUGACUUUGGGAUAACUUCAGGAAACUGGGGCUAAUACCGGAUAGGAGCUCCUGCUGCAUGGUGGGGGUUGGAAAGUUUCGGCGGUUGGGGAUGGACUCGCGGCUUAUCAGCUUGUUGGUGGGGUAGUGGCUUACCAAGGCUUUGACGGGUAGCCGGCCUGAGAGGGUGACCGGCCACAUUGGGACUGAGAUACGGCCCAGACUCCUGCGGGAGGCAGCAGUGGGGAAUAUUGCACAAUGGGCGGAAGCCUGAUGCAGCAACGCCGCGUGCGGGAUGACGGCCUUCGGGUUGUAAACCGCUUUCGCCUGUGACGAAGCGUGAGUGACGGCAAUGGGUAAAGAAGCACCGGCUAACUACGUG